ACCAUGACUACUAUCACUCUUGUCUUGAGAUGGUCGUUUAUUAAAAGUCUGUUGAGUCUUGGAAGACUACUCAUCUUUUUGAGUUUUUGUACGGAAAGACUACUUUAGAUUUUAAAAUAGCAGGCUUAACAACAAAUUGAACCUCCUCACCAUGUUCUUGAAGAGUGUUGGUAAUAGGACCUACGAUAUUCACCAAAGAUUGCAAGUUAGCUUUAAGAAAGUUCCCAUGAACUUUGGGC
Molecule: long non-coding RNA, 239 nt
Filed under: Capsicum annuum
Lineage: Eukaryota; Viridiplantae; Streptophyta; Magnoliopsida; Solanales; Solanaceae
Description: long non-coding RNA (CANN_LNC015531)
Source: RNAcentral